UACGUAGGUGGCGAGCGUUGUCCGGAAUUACUGGGUGUAAAGGGCGUGUAGGCGGGAUAGCAAGUCAGAUGUGAAAUUCCGGGGCUUAACCCCGGCGCUGCAUCUGAAACUGUUAUUCUUGAGUGUUGGAGAGGAAAGUGGAAGUCCCAGUGUAGCGGUGAAAUGCGUAGAGAUUGGGAGGAACACCAGUGGCGAAGGCGGCUUUCUGGACGAUAACUGACGCUGAGGCGCGAAAGCGUGGGGAGCAAACAGG
RNAcentral lists this ribosomal RNA (253 nucleotides) under uncultured bacterium. RNAcentral's name for it is "partial 16S ribosomal RNA". It matches the Rfam family "Bacterial small subunit ribosomal RNA", at positions 524 to 776 of the family's 1533-position model. The record is from RNAcentral.